RNAcentral lists this ribosomal RNA (213 nucleotides) under uncultured bacterium. RNAcentral's name for it is "partial 16S ribosomal RNA". It matches the Rfam family "Bacterial small subunit ribosomal RNA", at positions 524 to 735 of the family's 1533-position model. The record is from RNAcentral.
UACGUAGGGCGCAAGCGUUAUCCGGAAUUACUGGGCGUAAAGAGCUCGUAGGUGGUUUGUCGCGUUGUUCGUGAAAACUCACAGCUUAACUGUGGGCGUGCGGGCGAUACGGGCAGACUUGAGUACUGCAGGGGAGACUGGAAUUCCUGGUGUAGCGGUGGAAUGCGCAGAUAUCAGGAGGAACACCGGUGGCGAAGGCGGGAUCUCUGGGCA